Molecule: ribosomal RNA, 460 nt
Filed under: uncultured bacterium
Lineage: Bacteria
Description: partial 16S ribosomal RNA
Rfam family: Bacterial small subunit ribosomal RNA
Source: RNAcentral
CCUACGGGUGGCUGCAGUGAGGAAUAUUGGUCAAUGGGCGCGAGCCUGAACCAGCCAAGUAGCGUGAAGGAUGACUGCCCUACGGGUUGUAAACUUCUUUUAUAAAGGAAUAAAGUGAGGCACGUGUGCCUUUUUGUAUGUAUUUUAUGAAUAAGGCUCGGCUAACUCCGUGCCAGCCGCCGCGGUAAUAGGGAGGAUCCGAGCGUUAACCGGAUUUAUUGGGGUUAAAGGGAGCGUAGAUGGGUUGUUAAGUCAGUGGUGAAAGUGUGCGGCUCAACCGUAAAAUUGCAAUUGAUACUGGCAGCCUUGAGUACAGUUGAGGUAGGCGGAAUUCGUGGUGUAGCGGUGAAAUGCUUAGAUAUCACGAAGAACUCCGAUUGCGAAGGCAGCCUACUAAACUGCCACUGACAUUGAGGCUCGAAAGUGUGGGUAGCAAACAGGAUUAGAUACCCGAGUAGUC